Molecule: ribosomal RNA, 607 nt
Filed under: Trachelostyla sp.
Lineage: Eukaryota; Ciliophora; Spirotrichea; Sporadotrichida; Trachelostylidae
Description: partial small subunit ribosomal RNA
Rfam family: Eukaryotic small subunit ribosomal RNA
Source: RNAcentral
GAGUAGGGAGCCUGAUAACCGUUACCACAUCUACGGAUUGUACCUCGGACGUAUAUUACCCAAUCCUGACUCCUGUACGUAUUGACMAUAAAUAACGGACCGAAACAUCUUGUUUCGRGAUUGCAAUGGGUAUAUUUAAACCCCUUAUGUAGGAUCAGUUGGAGGGCAAGUCUGGUGCCAGCUUUUCKSAUAAUUCCAKCUCCGAACCGUAUAUUAAAGUUGUUGCACUUAAAAACCUCGUARUUGGACUUCAGGGAGGGCGCCGMUGUCCGCUGUUGCGAGUKSAGCGCCSYCCUUCCAUCCUUCUGUUAACGUUUCUUGGKAUUCAACUACUGGAUUCGGGCUCGGAUAUUUUACCUUGACAAAAGCUGAGUGCUUMCUGGCCGCUUGCUUSAGACUACAUUAGGGGGUAAWAUURUAAUARGACUUUWSUCUCUCUUGUUGGUUUAGGGACUGAUUUCUGGUUAAUACCUCAUAGUUGGGGGCUUGAGUAUUUWAUUGGCCUACGKMMWAUUCUCGGAKUGGUAACCGACUUCUCUUAUGCCCUCUCAUUUGCCAAGGAUGUUUCCUCNUWAUUACCCAACGAAAGUUAUGGGGAUCCAAUACA